Molecule: small RNA, 510 nt
Filed under: uncultured Entrophospora
Lineage: Eukaryota; Fungi; Glomeromycota; Glomeromycetes; Entrophosporales; Entrophosporaceae
Description: SSU rRNA
Rfam family: Eukaryotic small subunit ribosomal RNA
Source: RNAcentral
AGCAGCCGCGGUAAUUCCAGCUCCAAUAGCGUAUAUUAAAGUUGUUGCAGUUAAAAAGCUCGUAGUUGAAUUUCGGGAUCAAUUGAUUGGUCAUGCCUACGGUAUGUACUAGUCAUAUUGGUUCUCACCUUCUAAUGAACCUUAAUGUCAUUCACUUGAUGUUUUGGGGAAUUAGGACUGUUACCUUGAAAAAAUUAGAGUGUUUAAAGCAGGCUUACGCUUGAAUACAUUAGCAUGGAAUAAUGAAAUAGGACAUCGCAUUCUAUUUUGUUGGUUUCUAGGAUCGAUGUAAUGAUUAAUAGGGAUAGUUGGGGGCAUUAGUAUUCAAUUGUCAGAGGUGAAAUUCUUGGAUUUAUUGAAGACUAACUACUGCGAAAGCAUUUGCCAAGGAUGUUUUCAUUAAUCAAGAACGAAAGUUAGGGGAUCGAAGACGAUCAGAUACCGUCGUAGUCUUAACCAUAAACUAUGCCAACUAGGGAUCGGAUGAUGUUAAUUUUAAAUGACUCAUUC